ACGGACAAGUUUAAUGGUUUCAAUAUUCUGGAAUUUGUGUCUGUUUUUGUAAUUCGAUCGGAAAAAACCAUAUAGAAUAUUUGUUUAUACCAUUUUAUCGGUUUUUUUUUUUAAAAACUAUUUAUAAGCUUUGACGUUUCGAUCGAGAAAUUGCGGCAUUUCAAAUCGUGUUCAACAGAACUUCGCUCAGAUCGUAAUUCGUUAAUGGUGAUUUAUCAAUGCGUAUAGA
Molecule: non-coding RNA, 229 nt
Organism: Cinara cedri
Lineage: Eukaryota; Metazoa; Arthropoda; Insecta; Hemiptera; Aphididae
Source: the annotation of a GenBank genome assembly